Long non-coding RNA from Xenopus tropicalis (tropical clawed frog), 1211 nucleotides. RefSeq lists it as uncharacterized. NCBI's taxonomy places the organism in Eukaryota, Metazoa, Chordata, Amphibia, Anura, Pipidae. The record is from RefSeq and is a predicted model, not a curated record. The transcript is spliced from 2 exons.
GUUUUCCUUUAAAAUACUUUGUUUGUCAAGGUCACUGACUCCAGAAAUCACAAACCGUGAGGCUUUAACUAUAUUGCAGUGUUUGCUUAUAUUUCUGUUUGGGCCCUAUUAAUUUUUUCAUUUUGACUUCCAAGCUGCUAUCUGCUUACUAGGGCUAUUAAGCUCUGGCAACCAGGUACCAGUCUAAAUUGCCAGUCGUGAGCCACCGAAAAAAGUCAAAAUCAAAACACCCCAAAUAUAAAAGACAAAGUGCAUUUUUUCUAGACAACUACUGCCUACACAAUACUAUAAUUUCAUUCUAAGGCUUGCAUGUGAUGCUUGGAAAGACUGUAAAGUUCAAGAAUUCCAGUUUUUAAGCAUAUGAUAAAAUGGACUCAGACCGAUCAAUCAGUGCUAGAGAAAUGUUAAACCAGUUGUACUAAAUUGGGGGAUUAUAUUAAACCAAGUGUUGGGGAGUUUUGAAAUUUGAGUUUAGAGAACAUUUGAUCCAAGUAGAGAGUGCCAAGAUUCUAAAUCUGCUCCAUGCAUAAUAAUGUAAUUAUAUUUUGCAGCUUAAGGUAACAGGCAGCAUUAUAUCCCCAUCCUCUCUAAACAAACAGCCUUCCUUGUACACACAAUCUGCAGUUAAACCAGUAAAACAGAUGCAGAAUACAUUGGAGGAAAAUGUAGAGACCCUUCUUUCUCAUGCCAGAUACAAUAGCCAAUUUAAAUAUAAGAACAGAUCUAUCGUUCAACAAUGGUGCUCAUCAACAUCUGGAGAACGCAGUUAUAGCAGAUCAUUUCCUGUAAUUACCGUAACAGUAUCGAAAUCUGAUUGUGCACCCAGCAGAAACUGUUCUGGAAGUCCAGCCAGUUGUGUGGUUUUUCCAUGUUACUAACCAUGUAAGCAUCACAUGUCUGUGCCCCUAUUCAUUCUAGUGGCAGCGCAGACGACAGAAGAGAGGCCACCUGUGUUGAAUGAUGAUGCAGAAUUCUCCCACUUAAGCCAAGCUGAUAUUUUAUCCUUCCUCUGGUGAUUCAAAAACUAGUAAAAAAAAAAAAAAAUAGUCCAUGGAAUGGGAAUUUUUAAUUUAUUUUGUGGAGUUGAAGAAGCAGUAAAACAUUCUUUUGGAAAGCCACAAAAUAUGUACAAGGGAGAUUACAGCAGAUGGAACAAACAGUUUUGCUUUUCUUUCAUCCCCUGUGUAUCCUUAAAAUACACAUUUAAUGAA